Molecule: ribosomal RNA, 505 nt
Filed under: uncultured bacterium
Lineage: Bacteria
Description: partial 16S ribosomal RNA
Rfam family: Bacterial small subunit ribosomal RNA
Source: RNAcentral
GACGAACGCUGGCGGCGUGCCUAAUACAUGCAAGUGGGACGCAAGGACACACACUGUGCUUGCACACCGUGUUUUCUUGAGUCGCGAACGGGUGAGUAACGCGUAGGUAACCUGCCUAUUAGCGGGGGAUAACUAUUGGAAACGAUAGCUAAUACCGCAUAAUAUUAAUUAUUGCAUGAUAAUUGAUUGAAAGAUGCAAGCGCAUCACUAGUAGAUGGACCUGCGUUGUAUUAGCUAGUUGGUAAGGUAAGAGCUUACCAAGGCGACGAUACAUAGCCGACCUGAGAGGGUGAUCGGCCACACUGGGACUGAGACACGGCCCAGACUCCUACGGGAGGCAGCAGUAGGGAAUCUUCGGCAAUGGACGAAAGUCUGACCGAGCAACGCCGCGUGAGUGAAGAAGGUUGUCGGAUCGUAAAGCUCUGUUGUAAGUCAAGAACGUGUGUGAGAGUGGAAAGUUCACACAGUGACGGUAGCUGACCAGAAAGGGACGGCUAACUACGUG